UAUNAGAUGGNAAUUUNAGANGUGGNUNNCAUGGNUCCAGNAUUNNAANNGCGGGCGGGCAGGGACGUUCAGCUCGCCCCUUCCCANGNANCGAUGGACUGGUAGCGGCGGACGGGUGAGUAAUGCUUAGGAAUCUGCCUAUUAGUGGGGGACAACAUUCCGAAAAGGAAUGCUAAUACCGCAUACGCCCUACGGGGGAAAGCAGGGGAUCUUCGGACCUUGCGCUAAUAGAUGAGCCUAAGUCAGAUUAGCUAGUUGGUGGGGUAAAGGCCUACCAAGGCGACGAUCUGUAGCGGGUCUGAGAGGAUGAUCCGCCACACUGGGACUGAGACACGGCCCAGACUCCUACGGGAGGCAGCAGUGGGGAAUAUUGGACAAUGGGCGCAAGCCUGAUCCAGCCAUGCCGCGUGUGUGAAGAAGGCCUUUUGGUUGUAAAGCACUUUAAGCGAGGAGGAGGCUACUUGGAUUAAUACUCUAGGAUAGUGGACGUUACUCGCAGAAUAAGCACCGGCUAACUCUGUGCCAGCAGCCGCGGUAAUACAGAGGGUGCGAGCGUUAAUCGGAUUUACUGGGCGUAAAGCGUGCGUAGGCGGCUUCUUAAGUCGGAUGUGAAAUCCCUGAGCUUAACUUAGGAAUUGCNAUUCGAUACUGGGAAGCUAGAGUAUGGGAGAGGAUGGUAGAAUUCCAGGUGUAGCGGUGAAAUGCGUAGAGAUCUGGAGGAAUACCGAUGGCGAAGGCAGCCAUCUGGCCUAAUACUGACGCUGAGGUACGAAAGCAUGGGGAGCAAACAGGAUUAGAUACCCUGGUAGUCCAUGCCGUAAACGAUGUCUACUAGCCGUUGGGGCCUUUGAGGCUUUAGUGGCGCAGCUAACGCGAUAAGUAGACCGCCUGGGGAGUACGGUCGCAAGACUAAAACUCAAAUGAAUUGACGGGGGCCCGCACAAGCGGUGGAGCAUGUGGUUUAAUUCGAUGCAACGCGAAGAACCUUACCUGGUCUUGACAUAGUAAGAACUUUCCAGAGAUGGAUUGGUGCCUUCGGGAACUUACAU
Molecule: ribosomal RNA, 1049 nt
Filed under: Acinetobacter sp. DSP11
Lineage: Bacteria; Pseudomonadati; Pseudomonadota; Gammaproteobacteria; Moraxellales; Moraxellaceae
Description: bacterial SSU rRNA
Rfam family: Bacterial small subunit ribosomal RNA
Source: RNAcentral